Molecule: ribosomal RNA, 205 nt
Filed under: Schmidingerella taraikaensis
Lineage: Eukaryota; Ciliophora; Spirotrichea; Tintinnida; Rhabdonellidae
Description: partial Eukaryotic large subunit ribosomal RNA
Rfam family: Eukaryotic large subunit ribosomal RNA
Source: RNAcentral
GGGGGGAUAAGUCGAUUGGAACAUCGCGGCAGAGAGGGUGAGACCCCCGUUCAUGCCUCCUCUUUUAACCUUAACAUGCCUCAUCGACGAGUCGAGUUGCUUGGGAUUGCAGCUCAAAGCGGGUGGUAAAUUCCAUCUAAAGCUAAAUAUUGGUGGGAGACCGAUAGCGAACAAGUACCGUGAGGGAAAGGUGAAAAGCACCCCG